UUGUUAGCCGCCGCGGUAAGACGAACCGUGCGAACGUUGUUCGGAAUCACUGGGCUUAAAGGGCGCGUAGGCGGUCGGGCAAGUCCGGGGUGAAAUCCUGCAGCUUAACUGUAGAAGUGCCUUGGAUACUGCCCGGCUCGAGGGAGGUAGGGGUCUGUGGAACUUCUGGUGGAGCGGUGAAAUGCGUUGAUAUCAGAAGGAACGCCGGUGGCGAAAGCGGCAGACUGGACCUUUUCUAACGCUGAGGCGCGAAAGCUAGGGGAGCAAACGGGAUUAGAAACCCGCGUAGUCC
RNAcentral lists this ribosomal RNA (292 nucleotides) under uncultured bacterium. RNAcentral describes it as "partial 16S ribosomal RNA". It matches the Rfam family "Bacterial small subunit ribosomal RNA", at positions 503 to 796 of the family's 1533-position model. The record is from RNAcentral.